Molecule: ribosomal RNA, 442 nt
Filed under: uncultured soil bacterium
Lineage: Bacteria
Description: bacterial SSU rRNA
Rfam family: Bacterial small subunit ribosomal RNA
Source: RNAcentral
AGAACGAACGCUGGCGGCAGGCUUAACACAUGCAAGUCGAACGCCCCGCAAGGGGAGUGGCAGACGGGUGAGUAACACGUGGGAACGUGCCCUAAGGUUUGGAAUAUUCCCGGGAAACUGGGAGCAAUACCAAAUGUGUCCGCAAGGAGAAAGAUUUAUCGCCUUAGGAUCGGCCCGCGUCAGAUUAGGUUGUUGGUGGGGUAAUGGCCUACCAAGCCGACGAUCUGUAGCUGGUCUGAGGGGACACCAGCCACACUGGGACUGAGACACGGCCCAGACUCCUACGGGAGGCAGCAGUGGGGAAUCCUGGACAAUGGGCGCAAGCCUGAUCCAGCCAUGCCGCGUGGAUGAUGAAGGCCUUAGGGUUGUAAAAUCCUUUCGUUGGGACGAUAAUGACGGUACCCAAAGAAGAAGCUCCGGCUAACUUCGUGCCAGCAGCCGC